GUAGAGUUAGUGUAAUGAAGAACACGCGAUGCUACGAACUUCGAGAUAGGGGUUUGACUCCCUUACUCUACGCCA
Molecule: transfer RNA, 75 nt
Filed under: bacterium
Lineage: Bacteria
Description: tRNA-Arg
Rfam family: tRNA
About the family: Transfer RNA (tRNA) molecules are approximately 80 nucleotides in length. Their secondary structure includes four short double-helical elements and three loops (D, anti-codon, and T loops).
Source: RNAcentral